AACUGGAGGCUCUUUGGCUGUGCAGUGGUGCUGGAGCCUCGUUUACCAUCUCCUUUAAAACGUACAUCUCUCUCUGACUCCAAAAUCUUUCCUACAGAAUUGCAAGCCCAGGCUAUGAGCUGGGAUUUAUACAGUUGUUUCUGGAAUUGGUUCUGAAAGCACGCUACAAUAAAAACUCGAUUGCAGGACUGCAGCUACUUGUCCUGAAGGAAAUGAAGGCGUCUUCCAUUUCAGAAAAGGUGGUUAACCUGAAGAAUAAAGGUGACCUCUCUGUGUGUGAGUGGGGCAUCCCCCAAAGAGGCUGAAGCGCUGCUGCCCUCCUGCUGCAGAACUCCUCCUCCUCACCCACCUUCCAGCCAGGCUCACAGCUGAGUGCUUGACUGCUUCGUGCCUUGGUGGAGCAUUUUCCUGGGCUGUAUUUCCUCCGGUGUUGCUCACAGCGCAGGUAGAAGCCUCCAUCCAUCUCCCUCUCCUCAGCAUACGACGGCUGAUCAUUGCUGUGCAUCUGUCUUUGGCAGCGGGAAGAGGGAUAGCA
RNAcentral lists this long non-coding RNA (535 nucleotides) under Coturnix japonica (Japanese quail). RNAcentral's name for it is "lncRNA (ENSCJPG00005008212.1)". Lineage: Eukaryota; Metazoa; Chordata; Aves; Galliformes; Phasianidae. The record is from RNAcentral.